This 189-nucleotide ribosomal RNA is filed under the name uncultured bacterium. RNAcentral's name for it is "partial 16S ribosomal RNA". It matches the Rfam family "Bacterial small subunit ribosomal RNA", at positions 316 to 526 of the family's 1533-position model. The record is from RNAcentral.
GCGCCUCCUCGCGCAUCAGACUCGUACGGAGUAGCAGUGGGGAAUUUUGCGCAAUGGGGGAAACCCUGACGCAGCAACGCCGCGUGGAGGAUGAAGCCCUUGGGGUGUAAACUCCUUUCGACCAAGACGAUAAUGACGGUACUGGUGGAAGAAGCCCGGCUAACUUCGUGCCAGCAGCCGCGGUAAUUC